Molecule: ribosomal RNA, 496 nt
Filed under: uncultured bacterium
Lineage: Bacteria
Description: partial 16S ribosomal RNA
Rfam family: Bacterial small subunit ribosomal RNA
Source: RNAcentral
GAUGAACGCUGGCGGCGUGCCUAAUACAUGCAAGUCGAGCGAACGGACGAGAAGCUUGCUUCUCUGAUGUUAGCGGCGGACGGGUGAGUAACACGUGGAUAACCUCCCUAUAAGACUGGGAUAACUUCGGGAAACCGUAGCUAAUACCGGAUAAUAUUUUGAACCGCAUGGUUCAAAAGUGAAAGACGGUCUUGCUGUCACUUAUCGAUGGAUCCGCGCUGCAUUAGCUAGUUGGUAAGGUAACGGCUUACCAAGGCAACGAUGCAUAGCCGACCUGAGAGGGGGAUCGGCCACACUGGAGCUGAGACGCGGUCCAGACUCCUAGGGGAGGCAGCAGUAGGGAAGCUUCGGCAGUGGGCGAAAGCCUGCAGGAGCAACGCCGCGUGAGUGAUGAAGGUCUUCGGACCGUAAAACUCUGUUAGUAGGGAAGAACAUAUGUGUAAGUAACUGUGCACAUCUGGACGGUACCUAAUCAGAAAGCCACGGUUAAUUCCGU